GAUUUACAGUUUCACAUCUCCCGACUUCUCUCUCAUAAAAAAGUGACUAUGUUUCUUCAAAACUCUGCCACCAUUGACGGUUUCACGAAAGAUCUAUAGGUCAUGCCUUCACCAAUAUGAGGCUCUUCAAGCCAAAACAUGGGCGAGAGACAGAGCCAAGCAAGAAGAGAUCCGUGGCAAACAGAAAAAGAAACUAUGCAGUCAAAAAAGAUGUUCAAGAAUCUAAAGAUUUUAAAUUGAGAAAUGGUGAAUGUAUUAAGUGUUAGAUGCAGUUUCUUUAUGUUAGUUGGGGAUUUGAGACUGAAAUCUUUGUAAUAUACAGGGUAAAUGUCAUGUUUUUACUCCUCUA
Molecule: non-coding RNA, 349 nt
Organism: Nicotiana tabacum (common tobacco)
Lineage: Eukaryota; Viridiplantae; Streptophyta; Magnoliopsida; Solanales; Solanaceae
Source: RefSeq, a predicted model, not a curated record